Cyprinodon tularosa is the source of this 319-nucleotide long non-coding RNA. RefSeq lists it as uncharacterized. The transcript has 2 exons. Lineage: Eukaryota; Metazoa; Chordata; Actinopteri; Cyprinodontiformes; Cyprinodontidae. The record is from RefSeq and is a predicted model, not a curated record.
CUCUGGUUCUGCAGAUCAGGGAUUAUCCAAAGUCAGGAGCUUUUCCAAAUGGGGUGAAAUAUUUGCCUUUUAAAGCUCCUGUUUCCUCCUGUUGGCAGUGGAGACUCUGCUGGUCUGGAUGCGAAGUACUUCAGCAGCGGAGACGACGGCCUCCCAGUCAAGCCUUUGUCAUCUAACAUCAUUCAAAGAGGGUUUCCAUUGAAGGCGAAGUCCUCGGUGACGUCAGCGUACUUCUCUUCAUGAAAUUCUCCCUCUGCUCUCAUUCCCACAUCUUACUGCAAUAUUUGGAAUAAACCUCUUUAACUACUUGAUUAUUUAA